Molecule: non-coding RNA, 85 nt
Filed under: Humidesulfovibrio mexicanus
Lineage: Bacteria; Pseudomonadati; Thermodesulfobacteriota; Desulfovibrionia; Desulfovibrionales; Desulfovibrionaceae
Description: Desulfovibrio mexicanus ZTP sequence
Rfam family: ZMP/ZTP riboswitch aptamer (pfl RNA motif)
About the family: Previously known as pfl RNA. ZMP is also known as AICAR.
Source: Rfam by way of RNAcentral
CAGGGGCCGCGUGACUGGCGAAACCGUGGAGCCAACCACGAGGAAGCGCGGGUCUCCCCACCAGCCGCUCGCCUGGGCUGCGCCG